AUCUUCAGGGCAGGGUGCAAAUCCCUACCGGCGGUACAGCCCGCGAGCCGCAAGGCAUGAUCCGGUGUGAUUCCGGGGCCGACAGUAUAGUCUGGAUGGAAGAAGAUA
Molecule: non-coding RNA, 108 nt
Filed under: chicken gut metagenome
Description: FMN riboswitch (RFN element)
Rfam family: FMN riboswitch aptamer (RFN element)
About the family: The RFN element is a highly conserved domain that is found frequently in the 5'-untranslated regions of prokaryotic mRNAs that encode for flavin mononucleotide (FMN) biosynthesis and transport proteins. This element is a metabolite-dependent riboswitch that directly binds FMN in the absence of proteins.
Source: RNAcentral